GGUCAAAUGAACUAAGGCGUACGGCGGAGACCUAGGCACUCAGAGACGAUGAAGGGCGCAGAUACCGGCGAAACGCUUCGGGGAGCUGGCAACAAGCUUUGAUCCGAAGAUCCCCGAAUAGGGCAACCUCUAUAGAACUUCCUAUACAAUUCAUAGUUAGGGAAGAGGCAACCCAGUGAACUGAAACAUCUAAGUAGCUGGAGGAAAAGAAAGCAAACGCGAUUCCCGUAGUAGCGGCGAGCGAACCGGGAUCAGCCUAAACCAGUUUUAAAAACUGGUGUAGUGGGAGGACUUAAAAAAAAUUAAAAAUAAUAGACGAAGCAGCUGAAUCCUGCACCAUAGAUGGUGAAAGUCCGGUAGUCUAAAUUAUUUUAUUUUUUGUCAAAUCCCGAGUAGCAUGGGACACGUGAAAUCCCGUGUGAAUCCGCGAGGACCACCUCGUAAGGCUAAAUACUCCUGAGUGACCGAUAGCGAAAUAGUACAGUGAUGGAACGGUGAAAAGAACCCCUGUGGGGGAGUGAAAUAGAACAUGAAACCGUACGCUGACAAGCAGUGGGAGGGUUGAAAAUGCCUGACCGCGUGCCUAUUGAAGAAUGAGCCGGCGACUUAUAGGGAGUGGCUUGGUUAAGGAGUUAAAUCCGGAGCCGAAGCGAAAGCAAGUCUGAAUAGGGCAAAGUAUAAUCGUCACUUCUUAUGGACCCGAACCCGGGUGAUCUAAUCAUGACCAGAUUGAAGCAUGGGUCACACCUUGUGGAGGAUCGAACACACCAAUGUUGAAAAAUUGGGUGAUGAGUUGUGAUUAGGGGAGAAAUUCCAAUCGAACUCGGAGCUAGCUGGAUCUCCCCGAAAUGCGUUGAGGCGCAGCGGUCACGAUGAGCUGUCUAGGGGUAAAGCUACUGUUUCGAUGCGGGCUGCGAAAGUGGUACCAAGUCGUGGCAAACUCAGAAUACUAGGCAAAGCCUUCCGUGAGCCAGUGAGUGAUGGGGCGAUAAGGUUCUGUCACAAAAGGGAAACAGCCCAGAUCACCAGCUAAGGCCCCAAAAUGGUCACUAAGUGGAAAAGGAUGUGAAAAUGCUAAAACAACCAGGAGGUUUGCUUAGAAGCAGCCACCCUUCAAAGAGUGCGUAAUAGCUCACUGGUAAAGCGUUCUUGCGCCGACAAUGGCCGGGACUAAGUGACCUGCCGAAGCUGUGAUAUAAAUAAUUUUUAUUUAUAGGUAGGGGAGCGUUCCACUUUGGGUGAAGUCUUUAUGGGAAUAAGGAUGGACAAAGCGGAAGUGAGAAUGUCGGCUUGAGUAACGAAAACAUUGGUGAGAAUCCAAUGCCCCGAAAACCUAAGGGUUCCUCCACUAGGUUCGUCCGUGGGGGGUGAGUCAGGACCUAAGGCGAGGCCGAAAGGCGUAGUCGAUGGUAAACAGGUUAAUAUUCCUGUACUUAUUCUAUUGUUGAACAGAGGGACGAAGGAGGCUAAACUAGGUCUGACUAUGGAUUGCAGUGGAAGCGUUUAGGCGUUGAUAGGUAGAAGAAAAGCUAUCCUUGAGCUAAGGCGUGAUCCCUAAAGACGGCUUCGGUUGUUUUUAGCUAGUGAUGCCAAACUUCCAAGAAAAGCUCUAACAUUUUAGAUAGAAUAACCUGUACCUGAAACCGACACAGGUAGGUUAGUAGAGAAUACUAAGGGGCGCGAGAGAACUCUCUCUAAGGAACUCGGCAAAUUGGCCCCGUAACUUCGGAAGAAGGGGCGCCUUUGAAAAAAGGUCGCAGUGACCAGGCCCAAGCAACUGUUUAUCAAAAACACAGGUCUCCGCAAAGUCGUAAGACAAUAUAUGGGGGCUGACGCCUGCCCAGUGCCGGAAGGUUAAGGAAGUUGGUUAGGGUGUAAACUCGAAGCUGACGACCGAAGCCCCGGUGAACGGCGGUCGUAACUAUAACGAUCCUAAGGUAGCGAAAUUCAUUGCCAAGUAAGUUUUGGCCCGCACGAAAGGCGUAAUGAUUUGGGCACUGUCUCGGAGAGAGGCUCGGUGAAAUAGACUUGUUCGUGAAGAUGCGGACUACCUACACCUGGACAGAAAGACCCUAUGAAGCUUGACUGUAUCCUGGAAUUGGGUUUGGGCUUUUCUUGCGCAGCCUAGGUGGGAGGCUAUGAGUAGUACGUUCCGGCGUGCUAGGAGCCAUCAUUGAGAGACCACUCUGGAAGAGCUAGAAUCCUAAUGGCGAUCCUUGAAUCAGGACGCUUGACAGUUUCAGGUGGGCAGUUUGUUUGGGGCGAACACCUCCUAAAAGGUAACGGAGGUGUGCAAAGGUUCCCUCAGCCUGGACGGAAAUCAGGCAUUGAGUGUAAAAGCAAAAGGGGGCUUGACUGCAAGACCUACAAGUCGAGCAGGGGCGAAAGCCGGCUUUAGUGAUCCGACGGUUCCGUGUGGAAGGGCCGUCGCUCAACGGAUAAAAGUUACUCUAGGGAUAACAGGCUGAUCUUCCCCAAGAGUCCACAUCGACGGGAAGGUUUGGCACCUCGAUGUCGGCUCAUCACAUCCUCGGUCUGCAGUAGGUCCGAAGGGUUGGGCUGUUCGCCCAUUAAAGUGGUACGUGAGCUGGGUUCAAAACGUCGUGAGACAGUUUGGUCCAUAUCCGGUGUAAGCGUUAGAAUAUUGAGGGGUGCCUUUCUUAGUACGAGAGGAUUGGAAAGGACAUGCCUAUGGUGUACCUGUUCUCGCUCCAGCGGGAAACGCAGGGUAGCUACGCAUGGUUUGAGCAGCGCUGACAGCAUAUAAGUGCGAAGCAUUCCCCAAGAUGAAUAUUCUCCAUUAGGCCGCGGGUAGACAAUCCGUUCGAUAGGUAUCACGUGUAAGAGCAGCAAUGCUUUAAGCUUAGAUAUACUAAAGGCCAAUUGAUUUUGACC
RNAcentral lists this ribosomal RNA (2895 nucleotides) under Lobochlamys culleus. RNAcentral describes it as "large subunit ribosomal RNA". It matches the Rfam family "Bacterial large subunit ribosomal RNA". Lineage: Eukaryota; Viridiplantae; Chlorophyta; Chlorophyceae; Chlamydomonadales; Chlamydomonadaceae. The record is from RNAcentral.